This is a small nuclear RNA of Bos indicus x Bos taurus (hybrid cattle), 108 nucleotides long. NCBI's taxonomy places the organism in Eukaryota, Metazoa, Chordata, Mammalia, Artiodactyla, Bovidae. The record is from Ensembl.
GUGCUCGCUUCGGCAGCACAUAUACUAAAAAUUGGAACCAUACAGAGAAGAUUAGCAUGGCCCCUGCGCAAGGAUGACACGCAAAUUUGUGAAGCGUUCCAUAUUAAA